AGCCCUGAGGUGUAAUGACAUAUCAGAUUGCAAAUCUGAAGGAGCGAAUAAACGUUUGCCGGGGCUU
RNAcentral lists this transfer RNA (67 nucleotides) under Synbranchus marmoratus (marbled swamp eel). RNAcentral's name for it is "tRNA-Cys". The record is from RNAcentral. Lineage: Eukaryota; Metazoa; Chordata; Actinopteri; Synbranchiformes; Synbranchidae.